Non-coding RNA from Prunus avium (sweet cherry), 190 nucleotides. Lineage: Eukaryota; Viridiplantae; Streptophyta; Magnoliopsida; Rosales; Rosaceae. The record is from RefSeq and is a predicted model, not a curated record.
UAUGCCAAAAAACCAAAUCAGAUUCAUUCUCUCCUUUCUCGCUGGUGCUUUCUCGAUGUUAAAGCAAGAGGAGCUUUCAUUGAAGCUUAGUCUCAGAUGCUCUUAGCUCUACUCCUCAUCUUCGAGCUCUACUCCUCUUUCGCCACGUCGUCGUCGUCGUUGUCGUCAUCAUCGUCAUCGUUGUCAUUUG